This 465-nucleotide ribosomal RNA is filed under the name Vreelandella stevensii. RNAcentral's name for it is "partial 16S ribosomal RNA". It matches the Rfam family "Bacterial small subunit ribosomal RNA", at positions 338 to 795 of the family's 1533-position model. Lineage: Bacteria; Pseudomonadati; Pseudomonadota; Gammaproteobacteria; Oceanospirillales; Halomonadaceae. The record is from RNAcentral.
CCUACGGGGGGCAGCAGUGGGGAAUAUUGGACAAUGGGGGGAACCCUGAUCCAGCCAUGCCGCGUGUGUGAAGAAGGCCCUCGGGUUGUAAAGCACUUUCAGUGAGGAAGAACGCCUGGUGGUUAAUACCCAUCAGGAAAGACAUCACUCACAGAAGAAGCACCGGCUAACUCCGUGCCAGCAGCCGCGGUAAUACGGAGGGUGCGAGCGUUAAUCGGAAUUACUGGGCGUAAAGCGCGCGUAGGUGGCUUGAUAAGCCGGUUGUGAAAGCCCCGGGCUCAACCUGGGAACGGCAUCCGGAACUGUCAAGCUAGAGUGCAGGAGAGGAAGGUAGAAUUCCCGGGGUAGCGGUGAAAUGCGUAGAGAUCGGGAGGAAUACCAGUGGCGAAGGCGGCCUUCUGGACUGACACUGACACUGAGGUGCGAAAGCGUGGGUAGCAAACAGGAUUAGAUACCCGAGUAGUC